Long non-coding RNA from Prosopis cineraria, 640 nucleotides. RefSeq lists it as uncharacterized. The record is from RefSeq and is a predicted model, not a curated record. Lineage: Eukaryota; Viridiplantae; Streptophyta; Magnoliopsida; Fabales; Fabaceae. The transcript is spliced from 2 exons.
UUUGAUACUGAUUCCCUCUCUAUAAUUAUCGCGGAAACCCUAGAACGCGUUCUCAUGUGCCUUUGAGAGAACCGGGCGACCCAGCUCACCAAUGUCGUCUGAGUUCCGUUGCGGGCAUAAAGAAAACGCAACUCCUUUCUUCAUCUUUGCAAUCUGAAUCCUCUGUUUCUGCUUUGCAAUGACAGAAAGGUUCCGUACAUUCUACUCUUCUCCCUUCUCAUCCCUUUUUGUGAUUAAACAUUUAUAAACAUGUCUCCGGCCGUUCCAAUGGGUUCUCAGCUGCACAAUCUGUGUGUGAGGGCUCAAUUUCACCCGGCCAAUAUCUGAUUUUGGGGCGGCCUCAAGGAAUACUUUGCUUUGCAGUCCGUACGAAGAUGUCAUCCGGAGCAGGACUGGAAUGUCUAUUCAAAUUGUACUGCUGAUCUAGCCAAAAAGGAAUCACUCUUCUUCACCUUUUCUUUAUGAGGUGGAGGAUGAUGAGGGAUAGGUUAUUGUUUAGUUUUUGUUUUGAUCCGUUUUUAGUUCAAGUUUUUCUGCUUUUGUUCUGUAUAACCUCUGUACUGACUUGAUUGGAUUGUUAAGCAUUUAUACAUUUCAGUUUGCAAUUAAAAAAAAAAAGAUGAAUGGGCAAUUGCGUGCA